UAGCUAUUUCCCACAAUUUUGCAAUCUGAAAUCAAAUAGAUAAAUACAUAGCUUAUAAUUGGUAAAAUCUAUUUCUAGAAAUUUCUUUUGUUUCAUUAUGAAGCAUGAUAUGUGUUAGUGUAAUAUAUAUUAAAGAAUUUAUUAACACUAGUGAUUAGCAAUUUAUUAUUAACAAAGUUUGACUAAUAAUAUGAGCUUAAUUGUGCAAAGGGGCUCAGGUUUUGAACAAUUCUCAUUCUUCAUGAUAAUACAAAUUCUUACCUCAUAAAAAAUUACUGAUACAAUAGAAAACUACAAUCAUAUACAUUGGAACACAAUUUCUUCUCUUGGAAAUGAAAGAUCACACUUCAUAAUGGACAAAGUUAUGGAUAUCUGAUAGUUAUAAAAAGUACAAUUGUUUAUCUUGAAACAUAGUUCAUAAAUAAUGUUUUAGAUAAACAUCUGUUCAAAUUCUGUAAUUUUUUCGAUACUUUAUACUGUUUCGAGGCAAUAUGCGAGAACUGUUUGAACUUCGACAACUGGAGCCCACCGGUAAUAAGCCGUUUUAAAAAUAUUUCUCUCACGGCAACGAAUCUCUCGCACGAUACAUCGAUCCCAGCGUUCGCGCGUAAAUUAUCGUCUGAAAAUAUUUUGAAUACCGAGUGGCGCGCAUUUUAAAUCAACUACACAGAGCGUUAUUAUUUUUGAAGACUCGUGCCAGUAAAAUGGAACCACAUUUUUCUCUACAUUCUUAUUAAAUCCAUACGACUGUACUGACAUAUUAUUUCAAUCUAUUGGCAGGAGAUCAUUUGAAUAUUUUAUAUAAAAGAUUAUAUUUGUACUACUGCACUUUUUUUUUUAGUUUUGACAGAAACUAAUUUAAAUUUUAGAUGAAACGAUAUCUGUUAUGACUUUAUUAUUUAACUGUUAUUGUUUCAAACAUCUAUGGUGGAAUACUAAUAAUAAAAUUGUUGUCUCUGUGUGUGUAAAUUGUUGGAUUAAUACGCAGUAAAUGGCUGGAGUUUGUGAAUGUUAAAUUUUAUGGAACUACGUAUUUAAUUAUUCAAAAAGUUAUUUAUUUUAAAACUGGUGCAUCAGAUAUAAUGGUAAAUCUAGAAAAAUUAUUGUGAUUAAUUAAAGAUGUGACAUCUGAAUACUGAGAGUAUAAUUGGUAAAUCAAUAGCUUUUGUUAUAUAAACAACAAUUGUGGAAGAAUUAAUGACAAGAAAAAGAAAGAAAGAGAAUGGAGGUAAAAAUUUCAAUUAAAUGUUCUCACAAAAAGAGUCACUACAAAAAGAGAAACAGAUCUUCAACGUAGCUGAAUUUCUAUUUUUCUUUCCUUUCCUUCCACUUCUUUUUUUCUUCAGUAGAUGUUAAGAUUUCAAAUGUAUCAUAAAUUUUAAAAAUUACAAACUGGAAAUAGAACAAGUUAUGCAGCUAGAAAUAUUUAUGUACCAUGAGCUAAUAUUUAAAGUUUCACGUCAUUAAACUCACGAGUGGAAGAGCUUCUGUCACUUUUCGUCCGUCUUCGAGAACUUUCACGGUAAACACGAUUUUCAAAUUUUCUCGCGUGGAGUUUCCUCGAUUCUCGUUCUUCGAUAAACUUUUGUAUAUCGUUCGUCUUUU
Long non-coding RNA from Bombus terrestris (buff-tailed bumblebee), 1605 nucleotides. RefSeq lists it as uncharacterized. The transcript has 3 exons. Lineage: Eukaryota; Metazoa; Arthropoda; Insecta; Hymenoptera; Apidae. The record is from RefSeq and is a predicted model, not a curated record.